RNAcentral lists this ribosomal RNA (401 nucleotides) under uncultured bacterium. RNAcentral's name for it is "bacterial SSU rRNA". It matches the Rfam family "Bacterial small subunit ribosomal RNA", at positions 355 to 773 of the family's 1533-position model. The record is from RNAcentral.
UGGGGAAUAUUGGACAAUGGGCGAAAGCCUGAUCCAGCAAUGCCGCGUGAGUGAUGAAGGCCUUAGGGUUGUAAAGCUCUUUUACCCGGGAUGAUAAUGACAGUACCGGGAGAAUAAGCUCCGGCUAACUCCGUGCCAGCAGCCGCGGUAAUACGGAGGGAGCUAGCGUUGUUCGGAAUUACUGGGCGUAAAGCGCACGUAGGCGGCUAUUCAAGUCGGGGGUGAAAGCCCGGGGCUCAACCCCGGAACUGCCCUCGAAACUAGGUAGCUAGAAUCUUGGAGAGGCGAGUGGAAUUCCGAGUGUAGAGGUGAAAUUCGUAGAUAUUCGGAAGAACACCAGUGGCGAAGGCGACUCGCUGGACAAGUAUUGACGCUGAGGCACGAAAGCGUGGGGAUCAAAC